UUCCGGUUGAUCCUGCCGGAGGCGACCGCUUUUGGAGUUCGAUUAAGCCAUGCGAGUCGAGAGCCUUUGGGGCUCGGCAUACUGCUCAGUAACACGUGGAUAACCUGCCCUAUUGUCUGGAAUAACCUCGGGAAACUGAGAACAAGGCCGGAUAGCCCACAAUGCCUGGAACGGUUUGUGGGUGAAGAUAGGAUGGGCCUGCGCCGUAUCAGGUUGUAGGGGGUGUAAAGUACCCUCUAGCCAUCAACGCGUACGGGUGUUGGGAGACAUUGCCCGGAGAUGGAUUCUGAGACACGAAUCCAGACCCUACGGGGUGCAGCAGGCGCGAAAACUUGGCAAUGCGAGCAAUCGUGACCAGGGAACUCCAAGUGCGUAGGGUAAGACCUACGCUUUUCUUGACUCUUCAAAGGUCUUGGAAUAAGGGGUGGGUAAGGACGGUGCCAGCCGCCGCGGUAAUACCGGCGCCUCAAGUGGUAGUCGCUUUUAUUGGGCCUAAAACGUCCGUAGCCGGUCUGGUGCAUUCGUGGGUAAAUCAACCCGCUCAACGGGUUGAAUUCUGCGAGCACGGCCAGACUUGGGACCGGGAGAGGUGUGGGGUACUCUCAGGGUAGGGGUAAAAUCCUGUCAUCCUGAGAGGACCACCUGUUGCGAAGGCGCCACACUAGAACGGAUCCGACGGUCAGGGACGAAACCUAGGGGCACGAACCGGAUUAGAUACCCGGGUAGUCCUAGGUGUAAACGCUGUGGACUUGAUGUUGGGGGCGCUCCGAGCGCUCUCAGUGUCGAAGCGAAGGUGAUAAGUCCACUGCCUGGGGAGUACGGUCGCAAGGCUGAAACUUAAAGGAAUUGGCGGGGGAGCACUGCAACCUGAGGAUUGUGCGGUUUAAUUGGAUUUCAACGUGGGA
This 905-nucleotide ribosomal RNA is filed under the name uncultured archaeon. RNAcentral's name for it is "bacterial SSU rRNA". It matches the Rfam family "Archaeal small subunit ribosomal RNA", at positions 1 to 922 of the family's 1478-position model. The record is from RNAcentral.